GGAUUAAUGUGUAAUGGCAUAUUUUUUAAAAGUCAUGUAUGUGUUCUACAGUUCAUAAUUAGUGAGCCGUAAUGCAUGGGUAAUCGCUCGUCCCAAACACAGGAUCAACAUGUAUUGCCAUUACGUCUUGAGGUAUUUCACAUAGCAGGGCCUAGUUAAUUCAAAAUUUGUGUAACUGGAGUGCAACCAAAGACUGUACAUUUUGUAUUACAGAAAAAAAUAAGGAAAAAAAAAAAAAGCAUGCUAUUCUCCCUUUCUGCAGUGGUAUAUGGUAACUGUUAAGUCACAGCCUGAACCAUUGAUUGAGCACCUGGAGAAGGGACCAGGUCAGCCCUGAGAACACAGGUGAAGGCAAUUCAGCUGUGUGACUGGGAAGGGGUAGAGACUGGCUGCGCCUCUCUUAGAUUUCAUUUAAGGGCUGACAGCCACUAGGGAAGGAUCUCUUCCUGGAAGUCCCUCCUUGGUGAAGCUUUCUCCUGCAAACCUGAAAUCUGAUACAGAUGAGCAAUCUUCUUCCCUUUCUUUAUAUAACACUUCUCUAUUGUGGGAUGGCAGCACAAAUAGCUGGAAGCUACACUGUGUGAAUGAACUACUUAUGGGUGCUGAUACAAGGGAGAAUUAACACAGCUGACAACAAGUUUCAUGAAUUUUUGAAACUGUGUGGGGUUGCAGAGUAUCCAAGAAGAAAGCACCAAUAGCUUGUCAGUCUGUGAUUUAUGUUGGUUUUACCAUCCCUUAGGGAUACUGAAGCCUGGGGGUGAGCACUAGGAGGCUGUACAUCAAAUACCAAAGCCAAAGUCUUUGCAAGCUUCCUUAGGUAUGGAAGGACGCUGUAGAUUGUAGAUACCAAACCGUGGACCGAUCAAGGAUCAUGAAAUAUUGAAGUUGUGAAAGGAGGAGAAAUUUUAGACUGGAAACCAGAAUGCCAAACAGUGUUUAUUCAACUAAGAGCAGGUCUCUACUCCUGCUGUAGGACUGCCCAGUCUGGAAAAGCCUUUUGAAUUCUGUGUGCAUGAAAGAUGUCACACUGCACUGGGAGACUUAGUAGAACACAUUGGAUCCAGGAAGAGACCAGCAGGAUAUUAUUCUAGACAAUUGGAUCAAGUAAAUUUAGGGUGACGAUCACAUUUAUGAGCAGUGGAAACAUAUUUGUAGCACAGUCCAAAUGCAGGAGGAAAGCCAAAGUCCUGGCCAACUCACAGCCAACAGCAGCCCCGGGGCUGCCUGUGUGUCCGAAAUGCAGCGACAUCCCCAAGAUGUCAGAAACACCCCCAGAACAAGGCUGCAGCUGCCAGCCUGGCCUCCACCACA
This is a non-coding RNA of Meleagris gallopavo (turkey), 1311 nucleotides long. Lineage: Eukaryota; Metazoa; Chordata; Aves; Galliformes; Phasianidae. The record is from RefSeq and is a predicted model, not a curated record.